AGUGAACGCUGGCGGUAGGCCUAACACAUGCAAGUCGAACGGCAGCACAGUAAGAGCUUGCUCUUACGGGUGGCGAGUGGCGGACGGGUGAGGAAUACAUCGGAAUCUACUUUUUCGUGGGGGAUAACGUAGGGAAACUUACGCUAAUACCGCAUACGACCUACGGGUGAAAGCAGGGGAUCUUCGGACCUUGCGCGAUUGAAUGAGCCGAUGUCGGAUUAGCUAGUUGGCGGGGUAAAGGCCCACCAAGGCGACGAUCCGUAGCUGGUCUGAGAGGAUGAUCAGCCACACUGGAACUGAGACACGGUCCAGACUCCUACGGGAGGCAGCAGUGGGGAAUAUUGGACUAUGGGCGCAAGCCUGAUCCAGCCAUACCGCGUGGGUGAAGAAGGCCUUCGGGUUGUAAAGCCCUUUUGUUGGGAAAGAAAAGCAGCAGGUUAAUACCCCGCUGUUCUGACGGUACCCAAAGAAUAAGCAUCGGCUAACUUCGUG
RNAcentral lists this ribosomal RNA (492 nucleotides) under uncultured bacterium. Its description in RNAcentral is "partial 16S ribosomal RNA". It matches the Rfam family "Bacterial small subunit ribosomal RNA", at positions 29 to 507 of the family's 1533-position model. The record is from RNAcentral.